RNAcentral lists this long non-coding RNA (1143 nucleotides) under Bos indicus x Bos taurus (hybrid cattle). RNAcentral describes it as "lncRNA (ENSBIXG00000027900.1)". The record is from RNAcentral. Lineage: Eukaryota; Metazoa; Chordata; Mammalia; Artiodactyla; Bovidae.
GGUGUCUGCACCUUUGGGCUUCUCUCCAAGUUAGAAGUUUCCUCCUGCUCUCUGUUCCUCCAGGAUGACGUUGGCAGCUCCCUGGACAAGGAAGACCAGCAGAAGAUGUCAACCCAGAGUUCAAAUCAAACAGAUGGGGCGUCUAGAAAACGCACGCUGUGGUCUUUUCCUACGUGUGUUACAGAACUCUUGCAAGGCGCCCACCCUCUGCACAAUGGACAUUUAUGGCUGAGUCCUUCUUAAAGGGGGGCUGUUCUGUGCACUGUGGUGUGUAUAGCAGCACCCCCACCUCCACCCAGCAUGUCUCCUCCCCUCCCCCUGGGUGGUAAUAACCGCAAAUGUUUCCAGACAUUGUCCCCUGGGGGCAGAGAUCACCCUGGCCGGGUUGAGAACCACAGAUUUGGGGAGCGUAGACGUCAUAAACGGAGAAGGCAAUGGCACCCCACUCCAGUACUUUUGCCUAGAAAAUCCCAUGGACAGAGGAGCCUGGUAGGCUGCAGUCCAUGGGGUAGCUAGAGUCGGACACGACUGAGCAACUUCACUUUCACGCAUUGGAGAAGGAAAUGGCAACCCACUCCAGUGUUCUUGCCUGGAGAAUCCCAGGAACGGGGGAGCCUGGUGGGCUGCCAUCUAUGGGUCGCACAGAGUCGGACACGACUGAAGCGACGCAGCAGCAGCAGCAGCAGCAGCAGCAGCAGACGUCAUAAACACACAAGUUGUAAGGUUCCUCGAGCCACGCUGAUCGACUCCCACACUGAGGCUGGGAACCCACAUGGGCCAGGAUGUCCAAUCAGCUCAGUUUGGAGGGACUACGGGAAGAGGCCCAUUCCAAGCACACCAUCCAGGAAGGAAAGUGAGGGAUGGGCAGAGAGCCAGAAGUUACGCCGAUGCACCCUUUCACCCGGAAGAAGUCCUGAGGGGCUUCCCACAGUCACCCUCUACCGGCCUUGCCAGGAGCCACUGCUGACACAGGUCCUUGCCUGCAGUCACCUGGAAAACUCCUUUAUGUGAAAGCUGAGCCCUGUCUGUGCUGGACCAGAUUUACGGAAUGGAAAGGGGAGACUCCUGGUCACUUCAGAGUGCUCUGGGGAGGAUGAUGGGAUAUAUAAUAAAAGUGGGCUAUACCUGCUAAGUUAGAUGUUC